RNAcentral lists this ribosomal RNA (675 nucleotides) under uncultured bacterium. RNAcentral describes it as "bacterial SSU rRNA". It matches the Rfam family "Bacterial small subunit ribosomal RNA", at positions 8 to 722 of the family's 1533-position model. The record is from RNAcentral.
AGAGUUUGAUCAUGGCUCAGGAUGAACGCUGGCGGUAUGCCUAACACAUGCAAGUCGUACGAGAGUUUUUAACUCAAGUGGCGGACGGGUGAGUAACACGUGAGAAUCUGCCUUUAGUAGGGGGAUAACAACUGGAAACGGUUGCUAAUACCCCAUAUGCUUUCGAGUGAAAUAGAUUUAUCUGCCUAGAGAGGAGCUCGCGGCUGAUUAGCUUGUUGGUAGGGUAAUGGCCUCCCAAGGCGACGAUCAGUAUCUGGUUUGAGAGGACGAUCAGACACACUGGAACUGAGACACGGUCCAGACUCCUACGGGAGGCAGCAGUGGGGAAUUUUCCGCAAUGGGCGAAAGCCUGACGGAGCAAUACCGCGUGAGGGAAGACUGCCUAUGGGUUGUAAACCUCUUUUCUCAGGGAGGAACUCAAUGACGUGUACCUGAGGAAUAAGCAUCGGCUAACUCCGUGCCAGCAGCCGCGGUAAGACGGAGGAUGCAAGUGUUAUCCGGAAUCACUGGGCGUAAAGCGUCUGUAGGUGGUUUAAUAAGUCAACUGUUAAAUCUUGAGGCUCAACUUCAAAAUCGCAGUCGAAACUAUUAGACUAGAGUAUAGUAGGGGUAAAGGGAAUUUCCAGUGGAGCGGUGAAAUGCGUAGAGAUUGGAAAGAACACCGAUGGCGAAGGC